UACGAAGGGGGCUAGCGUUGCUCGGAAUCACUGGGCGUAAAGCGCACGUAGGCGGAUUGCUAAGUCAGGGGUGAAAUCCUGGAGCUCAACUCCAGAACUGCCUUUGAUACUGGCGAUCUUGAGUCCGGGAGAGGUGAGUGGAACUGCGAGUGUAGAGGUGAAAUUCGUAGAUAUUCGCAAGAACACCAGUGGCGAAGGCGGGUUGCUAGGCUGAUACUGACGCUGAGGCGCGAAAGCUAGGGUAGCAAACGGG
This 253-nucleotide ribosomal RNA is filed under the name uncultured bacterium. RNAcentral describes it as "partial 16S ribosomal RNA". It matches the Rfam family "Bacterial small subunit ribosomal RNA", at positions 524 to 776 of the family's 1533-position model. The record is from RNAcentral.